This 2583-nucleotide long non-coding RNA is filed under the name Equus caballus (horse). RNAcentral's name for it is "lncRNA (ENSECAG00000046945.1)". Lineage: Eukaryota; Metazoa; Chordata; Mammalia; Perissodactyla; Equidae. The record is from RNAcentral.
GAGCGGCCGCCUGUGCAGGAGACCAGGCUGUGAGGAAGAAAGGAGUGGCUGAUGUCCUGUGAGACGUCUUCUCAGGACUGAAGCCCAACCUUACAGUUAGGAGUUUUUAAACUUCCCACAGUGAGGCCAGGAGCUAAAGUGAUGGAAAUAUGCAAAUCAAUGAGUUGAUGGCGUUAUUGGUAUUUUUUCUGACGAAGGUAAAACCACCCUCCGUUCUCCCCUUCGGCCCUGCCUGUCUGCCACCUUCUCCUACCUGCUCCCCGUCGUCUCUCGCUUUAGUCCUUUUUCCUGGCUCUCUAGAGCCAGACUGCCUGCCUUCAUAUUCGUCUCCGCCACUGAGUGAUUGCAUGACUAAGGAAAUGGCUAACUUGUGUACCUCUCUCCUUUUUUCUUUUUUUUUGGUGAGGAAGAUUGGCCCUGAGCUAACAUCUGUGCCAGUGUUCCUCUAUUUUGUAUGUGGGACACCUCCACAGCGUGGCUGCCAAGGAGUGGUGCUAGGUUGGCACCUGGGAUCAGAACCGUGAACCCCGGGCCACCUAAACCGUUCUUCUAGUUGUGGUAUGUGGGACGCUGCCUCAGCAUGGUCUGACGAGCAGUGCCAUGUCCGUGCCCAGGAUUCGAACCAACGAAACACUGGGAUGCCUGCAGCGGAGCGCGCGAACUUAACCACUCAGCCGCGGGGCCAGCCCCCUUUAGUGACCAUUUUUAAAGUGAUAACUCUAGUAUUUAAAAGGUACCCGUAUGUCCAUAGUGAUAUUGUGAAGUGUACACAUACCAACUCACAGAUUUGUUUUUCAAGCAAUGCUAGGACUUAGUAGGAGAAAGUAAUGUUCCAGUUCUUUACUGGAGAGAGAAGCUGGUAUUUGAGAGAGUGAAGAGGGAUGGGCAAAACCACAAUGAGAUACCACUUCACAUCCACAAGGAUGGCUAUAAUCAAAAAAGUAGAAAAUAACAAGUGUUAAUGGGGAUAUGGAGAAAUUGGCACUCUCAUCCAUUGCUGGCAGAAAUGUAAGAUGGUGCCUCCACUGUAGAAGAUAGUUUGGCAGUCUGAAAAACUUAAACAUAGAAUUACCUUAUGACCCAGUAAUUCCACUGCUAGCUGUACACCUUGUAUGUGAAUGUUCACAGCGGUACUAUUCACAAUAACAGGAAGGUGGAAAGCACCCAAACGUCCAUCAACAGAUGAAUGGAUAAACAAAAUGUGGUAUGACCAUACAAUGGAAUAUUAUUUAUCAAUAGAAAGAAAUGAAAUGCUAUCCAUGCUGCAAUAUGAAUGAACCUUGGAAACAUUAUACUAAGUGAAAGAAACCAGUCACAAAAAGACCUCAUAUUGUAUGAUUACAUUUAUUUGAAAUAUUUAGAAUAGGCAAGUCUAUGGAGACUAGACUCGCAGUUGCUUGGAGCUGAGACGCACGGGAGAGGGGUAUAGAUGAGUGACGGCUAAAGAGUGUGGGGUUUCUUUUUCAGCUGAUAAAGAUGUUCUAAAACUGAUGAUGAUUGCACAUAUCUGGAAUAUACUAAAAACUAUUGAACUGGUCACUUUAAAUGGAUGAAUUGUAAAUCAGUGAAUUAUGUCUCCAUAAAGCUGUUAAAAGAUUUUAAAAAGAGUGAUGGGAAACAUUCUUUUCAAGUCCUGUAAAUAUAUACAUGUAGUUAUAUAGACAUACUGCAAUGUUAUUAGGGAAAAGUAAUAAGCAAUAUGGCUUAAAUUUAUUUUUAAUAAUCUGUAAUUAAAAAUACGUAAAAUACAGGGCUGGCCCAGUAGCGUGGCGGUUAAGUUCUCACAAUUUGCUUCUGCGCUGGGCUUUGCCAGUGCAAAUCCUGGGCGUGGACCUACGCACCACUUAUAAAGCCAUGCUUUGGCAAGCAUCCCACAUAUAAAAGUAGAGAAAGAUGGGCAUGGAUGUUAGCUCAGGGCCAAUCUUCCUAAAAAAAAAAAAAAGUAAGGUACUUUAACUACAGAUUUGAUCAUCUUCAACAAACGUUUCCAUGCCUCUUUUAUGCCUGAUGAUGUAAUUUGUGCUGUAAAGGACACAACCGUUUUCGUAUUCAUUCAGCAAAUAUUUAUUGAGCGCCUACCAUGUUACAGGUACCAUUGUAAGGAUUGGUGAUCCCUGUCCUCAUGAAGCUUAUUUUCUAGUGAGAGCAAAGAACGAAAUUAGCAUUCUGAAAGAUGUGAGGUGAUAUCUCAUUGUGGUUUUGAUUUGCAAUUACCCGAAGAUUAAUGACAUUGAGCAUCUUUUCAUGUACCUGUUGGCCGUCUGUAUGUCAUCUUUGGAAAAAUGUCUAUUCGGAUCCUCUGCCCAUUUCUUAAUUGGAUUGUUUGUUGUUUUGUUAUUGAGUUGUAUGAAUUCUUUAUGUGUUUUAGAUAUUAACCUUAUCGGAUAUAUGAUUUGCAAAUAUUUUCUCCUAUUCAGUGGGUUGGCUUUUCAUUUUGUUGAUGAUUUCCUUUUCUGUGCAGAAGCUUUUUAGUUUGGUGUAGUCUCACUUGUUUAUUUUUGCUUUUGUUACCUUUGCUUUUGAAGUCAGAUCCAAAAAAUAAUCACCAAGACCCUCAACAACAAGCUUACUGCCUAUGUUUCC